UACAUGAAUCAUCCCGUUUAAUCUUCACAACAAUUCUAGGUCCUUUUAUCCUCAUUUCACAGAUAAGGAAACCGAGACUCACGGAGGUUAAGUAAAUUGCCUAAGGUUACACAGCCAGUAAACUCAAAAAGCUAGACCUGGACUCAGAUUUGCCAGCCUCCAAAGGCUUCCAGACUUCUAACUGUAAUGCUAAUAUACAGCAAAUAGUCUUUAGUUGUGGAUUUUCUCACUAGCAUAACAGCAUUGAUCAGGUCAUAUUUUAGCAAGUGAUUUUCAAAUAUGAAAUGAUAGAGAUAACGUACAAAGGUCAGGCAAUUUUAAGCAAAUGCUCUUACAGGUGUGUACUAGGAUAGAGCCUUAAAACCAUUGACUCCUUCUAAACAUGGAGUUCAGACAUUCGAAUACAUUUACCUAGUAAAGUUCUAAUAGAAAAAGAGUUAUUUUAGGGCUAGUAUAAGGCCACUCAUGUAUUCCCAGUGUCAACUGUGCUCGACGUAGUAAGUGUGGAAUUAAUGUCUAGUGACCGGUUAGAUGACCCGCGUAGUGGGUCUUUUCAAAUCUCACAUGGAGGAUCUCAUACAAAAACAUCAAGAACAUUAAAGCAAGCCCUGACAAUAAUUUUUUAAAAAUAACAGUCUAUUUCCAGGGUAAACAAUUACUUUGUCACGCCGCUGCUUAGGGGUGGGAGAACCUGCUUCUGAUGUGGGUCCAGGUUGAGGAACACUUCGCCACUUGAGAAUGCAAGUAAAGUCCAGAAAUCCAGGACCACAGCAAUACUCCAGCCCAGGGUUGCAGGGCAGCCUCUUUACCAGCCGGGCGACCCAUUUCUAUCUAGGCGCCCGCGAAGCGCCGAUGUGGGCGGGGGACCGCUCCCAGCCUGAACAGUGGGUGGGCCCGCUAUGACAAUGCAGGAAUUCCGCGCCUGCUGCAGGGUUUGGGGAUCUGUCGGAAGGGUGGGAGGGAGCACUUUUCACCUGACACACCCAACCCCCCUGCUGCAGUCCAGGGCCGCGGAUGAACGGAAGGCAAGCGGUUCAAUACUGUCAGAUCAGUGGACUUGAGCUGCAGCAGAGCGGCCCACCCCGCCGCCCGCACACGCUCAGUCCCUCCGAGCAGGCCAGGCAGCAACGCACGCGCAGUCUGUUCUCGCUCGCUCCAUCAGUCCC
RNAcentral lists this long non-coding RNA (1166 nucleotides) under Macaca fascicularis (crab-eating macaque). RNAcentral's name for it is "lncRNA (ENSMFAG00000063091.1)". Lineage: Eukaryota; Metazoa; Chordata; Mammalia; Primates; Cercopithecidae. The record is from RNAcentral.